AAGUCGUAACAAGGUUUCCGUAGGUGAACCUGCGGAAGGAUCAUUAUCGUGUGGGGGACUUUGUCCCGGUGGGCAUUCGGGCCUAAUACCGACCCACGCAUCCGUUGGGACGCCUGCGGACUGGCGAUUUCCCUGAAGGUAUUAGGUUCGGAUGCCUACCUCUAACCUCACCCUUGCCCUUUUCUACGCACCAUUUGUUUCCUCGGCAACUCCGCAGCAACUGCCAAUGAGGACCCCUAAAAACCUUCUGCAAUCUUAGUAUAACAUUCUGAAAAUAAAACAAUAUUAAAA
Molecule: unclassified non-coding RNA, 291 nt
Filed under: plant metagenome
Description: partial contains small subunit ribosomal RNA and internal transcribed spacer 1
Rfam family: Eukaryotic small subunit ribosomal RNA (bases 1-46)
Source: RNAcentral